Molecule: ribosomal RNA, 301 nt
Filed under: uncultured bacterium
Lineage: Bacteria
Description: partial 16S ribosomal RNA
Rfam family: Bacterial small subunit ribosomal RNA
Source: RNAcentral
CAGCAGCCGCGGUAAUACGAAGGGGGCUAGCGUUGAUCGGAUUUACUGGGCGUAAAGCGCACGUAGGCGGACUUUUAAGUCAGGGGUGAAAUCCCGGGGCUCAACCCCGGAACUGCCUUUGAUACUGGGAGUCUUGAGUUCGAGAGAGGUGAGUGGAAUUGCGAGUGUAGAGGUGAAAUUCGUAGAUAUUCGCAGGAACACCAGUGGCGAAGGCGGCUCACUGGCUCGAUACUGACGCUGAGGUGCGAAAGCGUGGGGAGCAAACAGGAUUAGAUACCCGCGUAGUCCCUGUCUCUUAUAC